GAAUUAGCCGAUAAUAACUCGAUUAGUUUAACAUGGACGUUAAUUAAAAGAAAUCUAUGUAACAACGAUCUAGAUACGAAACUAGUAUCUUUAAAUAGGUCUCAAAAAGUUACACAGAAUGGACUACUCGAACGUGUCAUUCGGACAUCUGAUGAAGAAGAUAUAUGUUAUCUUAGGUGAAGGGUAAAAUGGUUAUUUCACAUUAAAGUGUUAUCAAGGCAACCGACUUUUCUUGUCAGGGAACCUCUGUGAAUAACUCAAAAACAACUUGAUAAGGUCUAGAAUUUCUAUUUUCUCUUUCGUUCUCUUAUUCUUCUUCUCUUUCAUCUUUUCUUCUUAUGCUCGUCUCCUACAGCAAUUCUGCAACGAUUUUGAGAAACAAAACAAUGGUUUUGAGAUCGAGAGAAGAAGAUAUAGAUCGAGUAUUGAUUGUUGGUGAUGGUGUUGUAUUUCUUUGAAAACGGGAUGAAGAAGAUGGAGUUCUUGUUGUAAAUCGAGCAUAGGAUUUCUGAAGUUAGGGUUUGUGAAGAAUAGAGAGGUGAUUUGGGUUGCUGUUAGAUAAAGAACAAUAGGGUUGUAUCUGAAUCGAAGUUAUGAAGUAGUUUUGAAGAUGAAUCAAGAGUUAGGGUUCUCAGAGAUUUGAAUUAGGGUUUCUGGAAGAAUUAAAAAAUUAAUUAGAAGAUGAAAUUAAUAUUUUAAGAAGGGGAUUUGAGAUGGGUAUUGAUCUAUUGGAUGAAUUAAGAUUAGAGUUGAGGAGUAAUUCUAGUUUGAUGAAGUUAUGGUUUUGAAGUUUUUUAUGAAACUAAGGCCUCUCAGUAGAUUGGUUUUAAGUUUGAAUUGGUGAUGAACAAGAAGAAGUAAGGACUGGUUUGAGCAAUUGAGGAAAGGGUUGGAGUUAAUUAGAUAUUUUGGAGUUGUUUUGAGGUUGAUAAAUUGAGUCAGGUGGAGAAGAAACUGAAUUCAAUUGCCUGAGCAUUCCUAAAUUGAGGUAACUGUUCUUCUAUGUGAUUUUAGAUAAGUUAUUCAUUUCAAUUGUUGAAAUUAUGAAAUGGUUGAUGAGUAUGAAUUGAAUUGAAAUUGAUAAGGGUAUGAAUUUAGAAGUGAACUGGUGUUGUUGUGAGUUAAAGGAAAGAACAAUAAUGAUGCUGAAAUUAUUGUUAGUGGAAUGGGGAGACAAUGGUCUAGUGUUGCAGGUGAUAUGAACGAUUGAGUUGUUAAAUAGUAAUGAUGUUGAAGUUGAACUGAUGUUGUUGGUUGUAUAGAUUAAGUUUGAAGUGAUUAAGCUAAGAUGCCUGAACUAGUGUAAGAUGAUUGAAAUGGAAUUGAAGUUGCAACUGUAUCGGGUGGUUAACUGAGGAAGCUGAAGUGAUGUGUGGAAGUUGAGGUUAUGUUGAUGAUGCAGUUCUUAAGAGUGGAUAUAAUGGUUGAGAUGCAGCUGCAACUAGAUUGCAGAUUUGGAGUUGCUGGUGCUAUGUGGGUUGUUGGUUUAAGGAUUAUAGCUGGAGUUUUAAUUACAGAAAUGAAGUGAGAAUGGUAAGGUGUAGGGGUCAUUGUGUAUAUGAUGUUACAAACUAUUGAUGGUUGAAGUUGUAUAUGAGUAAAUCAGUUUGGUGGUUAUGGUUGUGGCUGAAAUGCAGAUGAGUUUAGAGUUGAAGCAUUAGUAUGGUGGUUGUAUAAUCAUGUGAAAGAAAGUCUGAAGAUUGAGUUAGAUGUUGCUUAAAGCAGCAUUUUGCAGUUAAUCUUUAUUAACAACGACCGAUUCAAAGGAUGAACCAGUGGAUCGUGGAUCUCGAGGUAGGCGUGCCUUGUCAUCAAAUGAGGGAUGAUGUGCUCACCCAUUCCCAAUUUCAGUUUCAGAGACAGAUCAAAGUUACGGAACGGAAGCUUUGUAGCGUUGAGUCUUCUGCUAUGUAUAUUAUGUUGUAUAUUCUAUUUGCAAACCAAAUGACUAUUGUAUAUGCAUCAUUUGAGAGGAGUUCUUAUUUAUAUAUUUCUGAGCGGGGCUAGUUUUUGGGUU
Long non-coding RNA from Papaver somniferum (opium poppy), 2017 nucleotides. RefSeq lists it as uncharacterized. The transcript has 3 exons. NCBI's taxonomy places the organism in Eukaryota, Viridiplantae, Streptophyta, Magnoliopsida, Ranunculales, Papaveraceae. The record is from RefSeq and is a predicted model, not a curated record.